RNAcentral lists this ribosomal RNA (497 nucleotides) under uncultured bacterium. Its description in RNAcentral is "partial 16S ribosomal RNA". It matches the Rfam family "Bacterial small subunit ribosomal RNA", at positions 28 to 507 of the family's 1533-position model. The record is from RNAcentral.
GAUGAACGCUGGCGGCGUGCCUAAUACAUGCAAGUCGAGCGAACGGACGAGAAGCUUGCUCCUCUGAUGUUAGCGGCGGACGGGUGAGUAACACGUGGAUAACCUACCUAUAAGACUGGGAUAACUUCGGGAAACCGGAGCUAAUACCGGAUAAUAUUUUGAACCGCAUGGUUCAAAAGUGAAAGACGGUCUUGCUGUCACUUAUAGAUGGAUCCGCGCUGCAUUAGCUAGUUGGUAAGGUAACGGCUUACCAAGGCAACGAUGCAUAGCCGACCUGAGAGGGUGAUCGGCCACACUGGAACUGAGACACGGUCCAGACUCCUACGGGAGGCAGCAGUAGGGAAUCUUCCGCAAUGGGCGAAAGCCUGACGGAGCAACGUCGCGUGAGUGAUGAAGGUCUUCGGAUCGUAAAACUCUGUUAUUAGGGAAGAACAUAUGUGUAAGUAACUGUGCACAUCUUGACGGUACCUAAUCAGAAAGCCACGGCUAACUACGUG